CGAUCAAGGCAAACCCAUUGAAAAGUGGGGACGCAAAGCUAAAGGGGCUAACGUGUUUGCGGAAGAAGCAAAUGCUAUUGUCAGCCAGCUGCCGA
Molecule: non-coding RNA, 95 nt
Filed under: Paenibacillus ihumii
Lineage: Bacteria; Bacillati; Bacillota; Bacilli; Caryophanales; Paenibacillaceae
Description: Cyclic di-GMP-I riboswitch
Rfam family: c-di-GMP-I riboswitch aptamer
About the family: GEMM was predicted in a large-scale screen for bacterial structured RNA regulatory elements. Genes associated with GEMM are involved in a diverse array of functions, including chemotaxis regulation, signal transduction, secretion and chitin.
Source: RNAcentral